Sipha flava (yellow sugarcane aphid) is the source of this 800-nucleotide long non-coding RNA. RefSeq lists it as uncharacterized. The record is from RefSeq and is a predicted model, not a curated record. Lineage: Eukaryota; Metazoa; Arthropoda; Insecta; Hemiptera; Aphididae. The transcript has 4 exons.
UGCAAAUUGCGAAUAGCUAUUACUGGUAUUAGUGUACUAAACUGCUGACUGACAAAGUGUCACAGUCACAACUAUUAUUAUUUCUGUGUAUUUACUUAUUAGAUAUUACGUAUUUAUUAAAAUGUUUAGCAUAUUUAAAUCAAAAGCUAAGAAAAGUCAUAAUAAUGCAUCAAAAAACCAGUCAAUGAAAGUUUUACCAGAUAUGCAAUCACCUCAGGUUCUUACAACAACAUGAACAACGGAAUCGACAACAUCAGAAACUGAGCAUAGCACUAUGAACAUUUAUUUAAAAAUUAUUAAAGAUAGUAAUAAUGUGAGAGAUUUGGAAAACAAAAAAAACUGGUCCUGUUAAACCGAUUUUAGAUUAGCUGGAAAAAAAACAGGUAUUUUAAUGCAAAGUAUAAUAUUUAAAACAAUACUCUUGGCUCGAGUACAGCUUAGAAAAAAAUGCUGCAUUUUGAUUUUGCUGUCAACAUUUUGGUUGUGGUGAUGUUGAUAAAGUAUUUGCAAAAACUAGCUUUACAAAUUGAAAAAAGAUGAGAGGUGCAAAUUCAAAAAUUUCAAAACUAAAAGCACAUACUGCUACUAAAGAGCAUAUGUUAAAUAUUUCUAGAAUGUCAGAUUGCAAAAACAGUGUAGCUGCUAGAUGUGUUAGUUCUCAAAUAUCAAUUGUUCAUCAAAAAUUUGUUGAAAAUAAUAGAAAUUAUUUAAAAAAGCUUACUAACAUUGCACUGUUUUUGGCUCGUCAAGGAAUUGCAUUUCAUGGACACAAAGAAGACCCAAACUCACCUAAUCAAGGU